This 67-nucleotide transfer RNA is filed under the name Tropidia scita. RNAcentral describes it as "tRNA-Pro". Lineage: Eukaryota; Metazoa; Arthropoda; Insecta; Diptera; Syrphidae. The record is from RNAcentral.
CAAGAAAUAGUUUAAGUUAAAAUUUUAAUUUUGGAGAUUAAUGAUAAAGAGGUUUCUUUUUUCUUGA